Molecule: ribosomal RNA, 251 nt
Filed under: uncultured bacterium
Lineage: Bacteria
Description: partial 16S ribosomal RNA
Rfam family: Bacterial small subunit ribosomal RNA
Source: RNAcentral
ACAGAGGGUGCGAGCGUUAAUCGGAAUUACUGGGCGUAAAGCGCGCGUAGGCGGGUUUUUAAGUCGGAGGUGAAAGCCCCGAGCUUAACUUGGGAAUUGCAUUCGAUACUGGGAAGCUAGAGUAUGGGAGAGGAUGGUAGAAUUCCAGGUGUAGCGGUGAAAUGCGUAGAGAUCUGGAGGAAUACCGAUGGCGUAGGCAGCCAUCUGGCCUAAUACUGACGCUGAGGUACGAAAGCGUGGGGAGCAAACAG